This 467-nucleotide ribosomal RNA is filed under the name uncultured bacterium. RNAcentral describes it as "partial 16S ribosomal RNA". It matches the Rfam family "Bacterial small subunit ribosomal RNA", at positions 28 to 507 of the family's 1533-position model. The record is from RNAcentral.
GACGAACGCUGGCGGCGUGCUUAACACAUGCAAGUCGAACGAUGACGACCGAGCUUGCUCGGUCUGAUUAGUGGCGAACGGGUGAGUAACACGUGAGCAACCUGCCCUUCACUCUGGGAUAACCUCGGGAAAUCGGGGCUAAUACCGGAUAUGAGCUCCUGUCGCAUGGCGGGUGUUGGAAAGUUUUUCGGUGAAGGAUGGGCUCGCGGCCUAUCAGUUUGUUGGUGAGGUAGCGGCUCACCAAGGCGAUGACGGGUAGCCGGCCUGAGAGGGCGACCGGCCACACUGGGACUGAGACACGGCCCAGACUCCUACGGGAGGCAGCAGUGGGGAAUAUUGCACAAUGGGCGAAAGCCUGAUGCAGCGACGCCGCGUGAGGGAUGACGGCCUUCGGGUUGUAAACCUCUUUCAGCAGAGAAGAAGCGAAAGUGACGGUACCUGCAGAAGAAGCGCCGGCUAACUACGUG